CGGAACGAGUUAUCUGAACCUUCGGGGGACGAUAACGGCGUCGAGCGGCGGACGGGUGAGUAAUGCCUAGGAAAUUGCCCUGAUGUGGGGGAUAACCAUUGGAAACGAUGGCUAAUACCGCAUGAGCCUACGGGCCAAAGAGGGGGACCUUCGGGCCUCUCGCGUCUCGAGGUUACGCCUAGGUGGGAUUAGCUGUUGGUGAGGUAAGGGCUCACCAAGGCGACGAUCCCUAGCUGGUCUGAGAGGAUGAUCAGCCACACUGAACUGAGACACGGUCCACACUCCUACGGGAGGCAGCAGUGGGGAAUAUUGUACAAUGGGCGCAAGCCUGUGC
RNAcentral lists this ribosomal RNA (334 nucleotides) under Vibrio sp. DNRB28. RNAcentral describes it as "bacterial SSU rRNA". It matches the Rfam family "Bacterial small subunit ribosomal RNA", at positions 67 to 389 of the family's 1533-position model. Lineage: Bacteria; Pseudomonadati; Pseudomonadota; Gammaproteobacteria; Vibrionales; Vibrionaceae. The record is from RNAcentral.